Molecule: transfer RNA, 65 nt
Filed under: Pselaphinae sp. 3 EF-2015
Lineage: Eukaryota; Metazoa; Arthropoda; Insecta; Coleoptera; Staphylinidae
Description: tRNA-Phe
Source: RNAcentral
AUCUAAAUAGCUUAAUUUAAAGCUUAAUAUUGAAGAUAUUAUUAUGAUUGUUUAAUCUUUAGAUA